CAAAGUAAGUGUAUGUACUACAUUUUUUUUUUUUAACUUUGUAAAAAACUUUUUGAUGAGCUGGAACCAAUUACCCAAUAUCCCAUUGAAACAAUGGAUUCGGUUAACGAAACGUAUCAGCUCUCCCAAAACGAGUGUCUCUGUACAGGUGGCCAGGUUUUUUUUUUUUUUUUCACCAAAAUCUACUGACCCAUGAUCCUGGACAAUGAUGAUGGGAUGUAUAGAUUAUCAUGUUUAUCUGAAAGACCCAAUAGACUUUAAGCUCUAGUGGCUGGACAGAAUCCUCUGAGCAGAUCUACCCUUGGAAUUAUUUCAUGACCCAUUAGUUGCUACAGGUCAACCAUAAUAAUUCAGGCUAAGUCCCUACUUUCCAGCCUACAUCCUGCUACAAAAGGGAGUACAGUAGGGGGAGUAUUUGAGGCACCAGGCACCAAGCUUUGUUAUAAAAUGGAGUUCAGGAUUUAUAACCCUAUGCCCGUUACUGGGCGACUCAAGUAACUAAUCUAGAUUGGAAAUGAGAUGAGGUGGAACUUAUAUAAUUUUCAAAAGCUAAUAUGACAUGUACCACAUGUACAGGGUAAAUAAUAUAUAUUUUCUUUACCUAUGAGUCACAGUAAUUCAAUUUUACGUGGCAGUUUAUCUCGCCCAGAUUUUGCUUGGACAGUUGCGAUAUUUGUUGUUGAUGUUAUGUAGAUGCUUCAACUGCCAGGGUCUUUAAACAUAGUUAAUACACUAGGCAAUAAAGAGUUUGCAGAACUUAAGGAAGGUAUACUUUGUGUUAAUUUUUAGAAUAUAUUAUUAAACAAUAUUGCUCAACAGAUUGUUCCCAUAUGACUGUACUGUAUAUCACUAUUUAGUUUAGAUAUAAGGUGCUAAACCAGACAAUAAACAAAAUCCUGCACUUAUCUUGUACAGGUCAAACACUUGUCACCAGCUUGUAACAACUGCUGCCACCGGCUAUUAAUAUUAGCUCAGAGAAAACAGUGAAGGAUAUGAGCUAAUGAAAAAUAUACAUUGCCCAAGCAAAGUACAGUACAUGAUAACAAGGAAUUACCAAGCAACUAUACAGUACAGUACUGUGAAAUAUUUGGAUGACAGUAUCAAACAAAUACCUGUAUAGAGAGCCUGGGUGAUUUAGGAGAAAAUUACAACUAGGACACAUCAAACCCUACAAGACAAUCCAACACAAAGAUGAAGCCAGUAUAACAGCAAACAUAUUUGUCAAAACAGCAGUAUCUGGCAACUACAUCUUAGGGAUGGUGUUUGCACCAUGUGGGGUGGGACCGUUGGAGCUGAAUAUGAAUGCCGACCGCUGUGUGACAAGUAAGCUGGGUGACUUUUUAAGGUGAUGUUUUAUAAAAAACUCGAGUCGAGCAUCUCGCUGCCAUACUUUUUUCUAGCAUCCCUCGUAGUUUUGCAGGUAAAAGGCUUUCAGAAGGGUAGUAGAAAAAAAUGAAGUUAUAUCCCAAUCCCAUGCUUGAUAAACGAAUAUUUGUGUAGAAAAAAAAGAGCAGCUAGUCUGUUAACACUUACAGUUCUUCUGUGUGUAGCAUAUUCUGCACAUGGCUCAUUUUCUUGCUUAAAAAAUGUUUUACUUUUAUAAUAAUAGGAAAGGCAUUUGUUGCUCUAAAUAAUUAUUAAUUUAAUAAGUAUUCAUAGAAUUUAGAAAUUUAGCCAUUUUUCUUUUCAUAAGUAACGAAUGAUCAUUGAAUGGGAAUCUUCAAUGUUUUAUAUUUUAUUCUUUGAUGCUAAAAAUAAAAUACCUUCAUAGCAUAAAUGGCAAUUAGUUUUCUUAUAAAUACUAUGGAAAAAAUCAUAGCAAUAAACAUUCAUUAAGCUUAUAGCUUCUGCAAAGCUCAAAGCUUUGUUUUAUGAGCACUUCCUGCCUUACAUUAUUGUCCAUCAAGGUGGUGAAUAUGGAAAAUAUUUGUUCAUAUAAUCAGUAAAGACUUGGCAUAAAUGUGGUGAGUAUGAAUAUCAAUUCAUAUUUUUUAUUUGAUACUCAUUUCAGCUUCACACAAAUAAUGUACACCUUUUCAUUUUGACAUCCAAUUCUAACUCUGCAAAUUACAAUAUUCCUGAAUGUCCCCAGCCAAUAAAAUCUUGUGUCAUAUUAUUGUUUCAAAAUACAUAUAUUGUACCAUACUAAAUUUUAACUACUGUACUUGAUUUGUUCUUACAAUAUUCUUAAGAAAAUCUAUUUUAGCAUUUAUUAAUUAAUUUCUGUAACUAUUUCACAAAAUUGUGUACUGCCUCAAAAAAAAAAUAAAAGCAAAAAUAAAGCAAGGCUGGUACUUUAGUUGCCAGAUAACACUUUGUGAUUUAAAUUUUCUGGAAAUCGUGACAUCACCGAUUUGGGCAACUGUACAGUACUGUAUUAUGAAGAAUAAUUUAGUUACCAAAAACUGUUGGUGAGUCAAUUUAUCACAAGACUUUCCUUCUGUGUUAUUGUCUGAACUUCUUAUGUCAAGACUCAUUAUAGAUCUUGGCUUAGCAUUUCAUAUUGUUCACUUUAUUUCAAGUUUAAUUCAGUUUCUUAUUAGUACAUGUAUAAAAUUAUUUACUGUUCUGUACAAUACUGCAUGUAUAUUUCAUUUGAGUAGCCCAGUGCCAGAAUGGGAUAAGUGCCAUUUGUAAAAAAGUGAGAAAGUUGUAUUACAGUGAAGUCAUGUCAACAUCAUUUUUUUCAAUGAAUUGUCAACCAUAUUAGCAGUGUCCUAAAGACAUAUAUACCACUUGUACCUGAUAGGGGGAAGAAUGAACUAUGCAUUUCACAAAGAAAAUGUGUUUGGCUGAUCGUGGCACUUAUCCUGUUCUGGUGUUGUGCCACUCACAUACUAUGUUUAUUAUUACCGUAUAGUUAUCAUUUACACCAAAAAAAUUAAAUAAAAUCACCAUCUGUAGCAUUUUAAUACAGUCUGGUGAUUUUUUUUCCUUAGGAAUGUACAGUGUCUCAAUUUUUAUAAUGGGAGUCAAUAGGAAAAUGUACUCAGAUUUAUGAAAGGUUUUUCAGGAAUGGAACUCUUUCAUACACCAGGGAAAGCCUGUACUACUACAGUACAGUACUAUUACACUACUUUUACUACUACUACUGUACUGUUAUUAUUACUAUUAUUAUUAUUAUUAUUAUUAUUAUUAUUAUUAUUAUUAUUAUUAUUAUUAUUAUUAUUAUGGUGCUUUUGAAACUCCAUAUCAAAGAACACAUGAGAUGAGGUAUAUUUGAAGUUCUGAUGUUUCUGAGUCCAGUAUACUGUACAGUAGUUCCAGUGUGGCAUCCAAACAAAAUCAAAAGGUAGUGAUUCUUGACACAGUAAGUGGGGAGAGUUGUGGAUGGGACAUUAGCUAAAAGGUAAGCUCUUGACAAUGUGACUUAUCAUAAGAAUUUGAAUGACAUUUUCAAGGAUUACCUGAGUAACUUCACCCCAGCGUUCCACACACUUUGCCCGCACUUCUUUGCUGAGGAUAUAUAUUAAAGACACAUUACUUUACUUCCUGAUAAUGUAUCUAAAUUUCAAAUACUGUAUGUGUGUGUGUGUGUGUGUGUGUGUGUGUGUGUGUGUGUGUGUGUGUGUGUGUGUGUGUGUAGAUUAUAUAUACGGUAUAUACUGGGUAUGUGUGUGUUGAUAAAUAAUAUUUUUGUAUUCAUUCACUUAAAUCCUCAAACAAAUUUACAUUGGUACAGCUUGUAUGUAAACAAUGAAGACAUACAAACAAUGGCAAACUAUGCUGAUUCUGUCAAGGAUAACCAAAAUAAGUCAUUAAAAAUAUAUUUUGAAA
Homarus americanus (American lobster) is the source of this 3777-nucleotide long non-coding RNA. RefSeq lists it as uncharacterized. NCBI's taxonomy places the organism in Eukaryota, Metazoa, Arthropoda, Malacostraca, Decapoda, Nephropidae. The transcript has 3 exons. The record is from RefSeq and is a predicted model, not a curated record.